RNAcentral lists this ribosomal RNA (608 nucleotides) under Cicindela lusitanica. Its description in RNAcentral is "partial 16S ribosomal RNA". It matches the Rfam family "Bacterial large subunit ribosomal RNA", at positions 1850 to 2733 of the family's 2925-position model. The record is from RNAcentral. Lineage: Eukaryota; Metazoa; Arthropoda; Insecta; Coleoptera; Carabidae.
AGGUCUAACCUGCCCAAUGAGGAAUUAAAUGGCCGCAGUAUUUUGACUGUGCAAAGGUAGCAUAAUUAUUAGUUUUUUAAUUGAAAGCUUGUAUGAAGGGUUGGACGAGAUAAAAUCUGUCUUUAUUUAAAUUACAAUAGAAUUUAACUUUUAAGUCAAAAGGCUUAAAUGUAUAUAAAAGACGAGAAGACCCUAUAGAUCUUUAUUUAAUUAAUAUUUUGAUAAUUUAAGAUUAUUUUAGUUUAAAGUUUUAAUUAAAUUUUAUUGGGGUAAUAUAGAGAUUAAAUAAAUUCUUUUUAUUUAUUACAUUGAUUUAUGAAUAUAUGAUCCAAUAUUAUUGAUUAUAAGAUUAAGUUACCUUAGGGAUAACAGCGUAAUUUUUUUGGAGAGCUCAUAUCGAUAAAAAAGUUUGCGACCUCGAUGUUGGAUUAAAAAUUAGCUUGGGUGCAGAAGCUCAAGAUUUUGGUCUGUUCGACCAUUAAAUUUUUACAUGAUCUGAGUUCAGACCGGUGUAAGCCAGGUCGGUUUCUAUCUUUAUUUAUCUAAAAUAUUUUAGUACGAAAGGACCAAAUAUUUAAUAUAAUUAUAUUUCUUUUUUGAAUAAUAUU